GAUGAACGCUGGCGGCGUGCCUAAUACAUGCAAGUCGAGCGAAUGGAUUAAGAGCUUGCUCUUAUGAAGUUAGCGGCGGACGGGUGAGUAACACGUGGGUAACCUGCCCAUAAGACUGGGAUAACUCCGGGAAACCGGGGCUAAUACCGGAUAAUAUUUUGAACUGCAUGGUUCAAAAUUGAAAGGCGGCUUCGGCUGUCACUUAUGGAUGGACCCGCGUCGCAUUAGCUAGUUGGUGAGGUAACGGCUCACCAAGGCAACGAUGCGUAGCCGACCGGAGAGGGUGAUCGGCCACACUGGGACUGAGACACGGCCCAGAUUCCUGCGGGAGGCAGCAGUAGGGAAUCUUCCGCAAUGGGCGAAAGUCUGACGGAGCAACGCCGCGUGAGUGAUGAAGGCUUUCGGGUCGUAAAACUCUGUUGUUAGGGAAGAACAAGUGCUAGUUGAAUAAGCUGGCACCUUGACGGUACCUAACCAGAAAGCCACGGCUAACUACGUGCCAGCCGCCGCCGUAA
Molecule: ribosomal RNA, 515 nt
Filed under: uncultured bacterium
Lineage: Bacteria
Description: partial 16S ribosomal RNA
Rfam family: Bacterial small subunit ribosomal RNA
Source: RNAcentral